CUCGAAUUUAAAACUGAGUUUCUGUAAAGAAGUGCAUCCUGGUUUUCUGUCUCGGACCUGUGUCAAGUCUGGAUGAUGUUGGGGUCCAGGAGAAAGAACACGAUUAACAAGAGGUUCAGCAUGCUACGCGUGGUUCUGCUUAAAGUCAAUCUGUGGAAAAGCGAUGGCAGAGUGUCUCAAACAUCUAACGCAUUAGAGUCUACUCACUUGACCCACUCAUUACUCCUGUCCCCUCUUUCUGCACUUCUAAAGAACAGCAGAAUGGAUGAGCAGAGAUGCACACUUCCACCUCCUCUUAAAGUAAGUUUGGUUGUGUAAAUCGAUAAAGUAUACAGCCAAAAGUGUGUGGACACCUGACCAUCAGACCCAAAUGUAGGGUUGAACAUCUCAUUCCAGACUUAGUUUGCCUUUGCUGUUAUAAAAACCUUCACUCUUCUGGGAAGGCUUUCCAGUAGGUUUUGG
This is a long non-coding RNA of Ictalurus punctatus (channel catfish), 462 nucleotides long. Lineage: Eukaryota; Metazoa; Chordata; Actinopteri; Siluriformes; Ictaluridae. The record is from Ensembl.